Molecule: long non-coding RNA, 132 nt
Organism: Bufo bufo (common toad)
Lineage: Eukaryota; Metazoa; Chordata; Amphibia; Anura; Bufonidae
Exons: 3
Source: RefSeq, a predicted model, not a curated record
CGUUUCCUCUAAUAGGCUUUAGUCUUAGUUCCUGUAGCCUAUCAGAAACCGGUGUCAUCAUUAUUGCACUGCAUGAGCCGGGCUGCAUACAGCUCAGGGCACAGACUAGAAGAGGUCUAUGUCCUGCACCGC